This 253-nucleotide ribosomal RNA is filed under the name uncultured bacterium. RNAcentral describes it as "partial 16S ribosomal RNA". It matches the Rfam family "Bacterial small subunit ribosomal RNA", at positions 524 to 776 of the family's 1533-position model. The record is from RNAcentral.
GACGUAGGGUGCGAGCGUUGUUCGGAUUUACUGGGCGUAAAGGGUGCGUAGGUGGCGGGGCAAGUCAGGUGUGAAAUCCCGGGGCUCAACCCCGGAACUGCAUUUGAUACUGCCUUGCUCGAGUACUGGAGAGGAGACUGGAAUUUACGGUGUAGCAGUGAAAUGCGUAGAUAUCGUAAGGAAGACCAGUGGCGAAGGCGAGUCUCUGGACAGUUACUGACACUGAGGCACGAAGGCCAGGGGAGCAAACGGG